AUGGCCAUAUCAUGUUGAAAUAUUAGUUCUCAUCUGAUCACAGAAUUUAAGCAAUUUCAAGCCUGUUCAGCACUUAGAUGGGUAACCAUUUAGGAAUACCAGGUGAUGGAA
Non-coding RNA from Acanthosepion pharaonis, 111 nucleotides. The record is from the annotation of a GenBank genome assembly. Lineage: Eukaryota; Metazoa; Mollusca; Cephalopoda; Sepiida; Sepiidae.